RNAcentral lists this ribosomal RNA (264 nucleotides) under uncultured bacterium. RNAcentral's name for it is "partial 16S ribosomal RNA". It matches the Rfam family "Bacterial small subunit ribosomal RNA", at positions 1114 to 1382 of the family's 1533-position model. The record is from RNAcentral.
GUUUUCCCGAAAGGAUUACCCUCUAAGGGGACUGCCCCGGACAACGGGGAGGAAGGUGGGGAUGACGUCAAGUCCGCAUGCUCCUUACGUCUAGGGCUACACACGUCCUACAAUGGGGUCGACAGUGGGAUGCAAAGCCGCGAGGUGGAGCCAAUCCCCAAACGGCCUCUCAGUUCGGAUAGUAGUCUGCAACUCGACUACUUGAAGUCGGAAUCGCUAGUAAUGGCGGAUCAGCAUGCCGCCGUGAAUACGUUCCCGGGUCUU